AUUGAACGCUGGCGGCAUGCUUUACACAUGCAAGUCGAACGACAGCGCGGGCUUCGGCCUCGCGGGGCGUUGCGAACGGGUGGGUAAUGCACCGGGACGUGCCCUAUAGUGGGGGAUGGGCCGGCGAAAGCCGAAAUAAUCUCACAUCCGACCUGAUAUUGAAAGGGGGGGACCGAGAGUCCUAGCGGUUUUUGAGGAGCCUAAGUCGGAUUAGCGAGGUGGUGGGGUAAAGGCUUACCAAGGCGGCGAAGCGUAGCUGGGAUGAGAGGACGACCGGCCACCCUGGGACUGAGACACGGCCCAGACUCCUACGGGAGGCAGCAGUGGGGAAUCUUGCACAAUGGGGGAAACCCUGAUCCAGCCAUGCCGCGUGAGGGAAGAAGGCCUUCGGGUUGUAAACCGCUGUUGUUCGGGAAGAAAUACUGUGGGCUAAUCCCCCGGGGUGAUGACGGUACCGGAAGAAUAAGCACCGGCUAACUACGUG
RNAcentral lists this ribosomal RNA (484 nucleotides) under uncultured bacterium. RNAcentral's name for it is "partial 16S ribosomal RNA". It matches the Rfam family "Bacterial small subunit ribosomal RNA", at positions 29 to 507 of the family's 1533-position model. The record is from RNAcentral.